This is a non-coding RNA of Betta splendens (Siamese fighting fish), 434 nucleotides long. The record is from the annotation of a RefSeq genome assembly. NCBI's taxonomy places the organism in Eukaryota, Metazoa, Chordata, Actinopteri, Anabantiformes, Osphronemidae.
CACCAUGAUGAUGUCUCUGACUCUACUGCUGGCCACCCUGGGGCUCCUUGUUCAGGGUUCAUCAGGUCAAAUCACUGUGACUCAGACUCCUGGAGCGUUGUCUGUUGCUGCAGAACAGACUGUUACUAUCAAAUGUAAAGUUAGUCCCAGUACUAGUUACUGUUUCAGCUGGUACCUUCAGAAACCAGGAGAAGCUCCUAAACUCCUCAUCUACUGCUCUUCAACCCGUCAGUCUGGAGUCUCUGACAGAUUCAAUGGAGCAAAGUCAGGAAACACUGACUUCACUCUGACCAUCAGCAGAGUCCAGGCUGAAGAUGCAGGAGAAUAUUACUGUCAGAGUGCACAUUACAUUAACAGUAAAGAUGUGUUGACACAGUGAUAAACCGUCGUACAAAAACCUCCCUCAGUCAAAGUGAACAGAAACUGAUCUCACU